RNAcentral lists this ribosomal RNA (253 nucleotides) under uncultured bacterium. RNAcentral's name for it is "partial 16S ribosomal RNA". It matches the Rfam family "Bacterial small subunit ribosomal RNA", at positions 524 to 776 of the family's 1533-position model. The record is from RNAcentral.
UACGGAGGGCGCAAGCGUUGUUCGGAAUCACUGGGCGUAAAGCGCGUGUAGGCGGCUUGGCAAGUCGGGUGUGAAAUCCCGAGGCUCAACCUCGGAACUGCACUCGAAACUGCCUGGCUCGAGUCCCGGAGAGGGUGGCGGAAUUCCCGGUGUAGGGUUGAAAUCCGUAGAUAUCGGGAGGAACGCCAGUGGCGAAGGCGGCCACCUGGACGGUGACUGACGCUGAGACGCGAGAGCGUGGGGAGCAAACAGG